GAUACGUCGCGUUCGAUCAGAACGCCUGCCUAACUUCAAGCGCGAGGGCAUUUACGACGCCGAGUGAACUCGCACGAGACUAGCCGAGGGUAUCUCGGGCCAGUCGCCAUUUUGUUGGGUAGUCAUCGGGAUCGUCGUGUUACUCUCACCUCGGGAUUCGUCGUCAUUUCGUUCGGACGGACGGUGAAACACCGUGGGACUCGGGGCGCAGCUCUCCUACUACACGCCAUCCCGCAAAUGGCUUGUCUGAACACCCUCAAGCAGGAAAUCAAAACGCUCGAAUCUGUCUUCCCCAAGAGCCAUGAGAGGUUUCAGAUAAUGUCCGCGAGCGUGGACGAACUCAGUUGCAGGUUCGUCGGUAAAAAUGGGAAGAAGUAUGAAAUACACGCCAAUAUCACAGAAACCUAUCCUUCUACGCCACCAGUUUGGUUUGCCGAGUCUGAGGAAACCAGUGUUACGAACGCUGUACAAAUUUUAAGUAACACAACAGGCCGUGACAACCAUGUAAUCAACCAAGUGGGAAUCCUCCUGAAAGAACUAUGCAGACUACAUUCGUUACCAGAACCACCAGACGUCGAAAGACUCAGAACGGCCCUGGAUCCUUUACGUUUAGGAGGACCAAACGAAGCCGUAGCACAGAGAAUGGACGCCGAGGACGUUGACGACUUCGACGAGGACGAAGAGAGCGAGACUGAAGAAGACCUUCACUUGGACAUGGACGAGGGAGAUGCCAACGCUAAGAGUAAGGGUGAAGAAAUGGAUUUGGAACAUCUCGCGACGUUGGAAAGGUUGAGACAGAAUCAGAGACAAGACUAUUUAAAAGGAUCUGUUUGUGGAAGCGUACAAGCCACCGAUAGACUCAUGAAGGAACUACGUGAUAUUUAUCGAAGUGACAGCUUUAAAAAAGGAAUGUAUAGUAUAGAACUAGUAAAUGACAGUUUAUACGAAUGGAAUAUCAGGUUGAUGUGCGUAGAUCCUGAUUCACCACUUCAUAGCGAUCUCAUUCUUCUAAAAGAGAAAGAGGGCAAAGACAGUAUUCUUCUCAACAUGCUUUUUAAGGAAACUUAUCCAUUCGAACCUCCAUUCGUAAGAGUUGUACAUCCCAUCAUUUCCGGUGGGUAUGUUCUUGUGGGAGGCGCGAUUUGUAUGGAACUCCUCACGAAACAAGGAUGGAGUUCGGCGUAUACAGUGGAAGCUGUUAUAAUGCAGAUUUCAGCGACGCUAGUGAAGGGCAAAGCGCGUAUACAAUUCCAAGGAUCAGGUGGUGCUGGCAAAGUGUGCGGUGGACAAGGCCAAUAUAGUUUGGCACGUGCCCAACAGUCAUUCAAGUCUCUUGUACAAAUACAUGAAAAGAAUGGUUGGUUUACGCCCCCUAAGGAGGAUGGCUAAUGAACAGCGGUUACCCAAUCGUACCGAGAAAUAUGACACGUGCUUACAGACGAGACUUUAAUUCGGGAGAGCACCCGGUUCACGCGGAACAUAAACGAGUGAACGAGGCUUGAUGGGAGUGAGGAGUAUAUUUGGAAAUUAUAAGAGGAACAUUAAAGAGAAAGAGAUCCACACAUGUACCUGGUUGCCGAUCCAUAUUCUAAUCUCUUGGUAGUCAGUAACAGUCUUCGUUUCGCUUGAACCGUGGUACCCGAUUGUAUCCGUUUGGUACUACUCGGGUUGUAAAACUUUGUGUAUCAUGUUAAGUAUACUGCUAUGACUUAACUCUCUCAUAUUGUAACAUUCUCUGACGAGGGUCUAGACUUUCGGAUCGAAGCAGCGUGUGUGUGCGUGUGUGUGUGUGUGUAUGUGUGUGUGUGUAUGUCGUACGCGUCGAGAGAAGUCGCGAUUGAUAUCUCUCUUGUUUUCGGAUUUGUGCCGCGCAUCAAACGAAAAUCGUCCCUCGUGUCCCGUUUUUCUCUUCGCGCACACGUGUUCUCUCUCUC
RNAcentral lists this unclassified non-coding RNA (1934 nucleotides) under Harpegnathos saltator (Jerdon's jumping ant). Its description in RNAcentral is "ubiquitin-conjugating enzyme E2 Q1, transcript variant X1". The record is from RNAcentral. Lineage: Eukaryota; Metazoa; Arthropoda; Insecta; Hymenoptera; Formicidae.